RNAcentral lists this ribosomal RNA (305 nucleotides) under Anophryoides haemophila. RNAcentral describes it as "partial Bacterial small subunit ribosomal RNA". It matches the Rfam family "Bacterial small subunit ribosomal RNA", at positions 1 to 298 of the family's 1533-position model. Lineage: Eukaryota; Ciliophora; Oligohymenophorea; Philasterida; Glauconematidae. The record is from RNAcentral.
GUGGAGAGUUUGAUCCUGGCUCAGGAUGAACGCUGGCGGCGUGCCUAAUACAUGCAAGUCGAGCGAACAGACGAGGAGCUUGCUCCUUUGACGUUAGCGGCGGACGGGUGAGUAACACGUGGGUAACCUACCUAUAGGACUGGAAUAACUCCGGGAAACCGGGGCUAAUGCCGGAUAACAUUUAGAACCGCAUGGUUCUAAAGUGAAAGAUGGUUUUGCUAUCACUUAUAGAUGGACCCGCGCCGUAUUAGCUAGUUGGUAAGGUAACGGCUUACCAAGGCGACGAUACGUAGCCGACCUGAGAG